CCGUAUUCCCUGGCUCUGUUGCUCCUCCUCACAUGGCUGGCAGAUCUGGGCUUUUGAUGGCAACGCCUUCUUUCUCUCUCUUCUCUGUCAACCGCUUCUCAGAUUCUAAAAACUCUUCUCCACAGAGUCUGAGACGUUAGCCUCCAUGUUGAAAUUCAAGAGACAUACCAUGUCAUGGAAGCUGAAUCCAAAUGAAACUUCCCCAAGACUACAGCUCUUCAACAUGGAUGAAAAUGCCGGAGAAUAGUUCAAAUCCUUAAAAGUCUUUCAGUGAGGGUGGUGCCUCGUGAGACCUUUCCUGUGGCUGAUGAAAUGGUGAUGGAACCCAUCUUGCAUAGGGCUUCUGCAGGUUUUCUGUUCCCUCUUCCUUGAUUUUGCUGAGCCUUGCAGAACAUUUCCUUCGUCAAGCGACCACAGUAUACAGAGUUGGUUCCCAGCAACUCCUAGAGCUAGCACUGUUACAGGUA
Molecule: long non-coding RNA, 467 nt
Organism: Mus musculus (house mouse)
Lineage: Eukaryota; Metazoa; Chordata; Mammalia; Rodentia; Muridae
Product: predicted gene, 42315
Exons: 4
Source: RefSeq, a predicted model, not a curated record